RNAcentral lists this ribosomal RNA (518 nucleotides) under uncultured bacterium. RNAcentral describes it as "bacterial SSU rRNA". It matches the Rfam family "Bacterial small subunit ribosomal RNA", at positions 121 to 632 of the family's 1533-position model. The record is from RNAcentral.
GGAAUCUACCCUUUAGUUGGGGACAACAUAUGGAAACGUAUGCUAAUACCGAAUAUGCUCUACGGAGUAAAGGUGGCCUCUACUUGUAAGCUAUCGCUAAAGGAUGAGCCCGCGUUAGAUUAGCUAGUUGGUAAGGUAAAGGCUUACCAAGGCGACGAUCUAUAGCUGGUUUGAGAGGAUGAUCAGCCACACUGGGACUGAGACACGGCCCAGACUCCUACGGGAGGCAGCAGUGGGGAAUAUUGCACAAUGAGGGAAACCUUGAUGCAGCCAUGCCGCGUGUGUGAAGAAGGCCCGAGGGUUGUAAAGCACUUUCAAUUGUGAGGAAGAUUAAGUAGCUAAUACCUGCUUAGUUUGACGUUAACUUUAGAAGAAGCACCGGCUAACUCUGUGCCAGCAGCCGCGGUAAUACAGAGGGUGCAAGCGUUAUUCGGAAUUACUGGGCGUAAAGCGCGCGUAGGCGGACUGUUAAGUCGGUUGUGAAAGCCCUGGGCUCAACCUAGGAACUGCAUCCGAUA